CCUACGGUGGGCAGCAGUGAGGAAUAUUGGUCAAUGGUCGGGAGACUGAACCAGCCAAGCCGCGUGAGGGAUGAAGGUACAGAGUAUCGUAAACCUCUUUUGUCAGGGCGCAAAGGCGGGGACGUGUCCCCGGAUGAGUGUACCUGAAGAAAAAGCAUCGGCUAACUCCGUGCCAGCAGCCGCGGUAAUACGGAGGAUGCGAGCGUUAUCCGGAUUUAUUGGGUUUAAAGGGUCCGCAGGCGUUCUGUUAAGUCAGCGGUAAAAGCCCGGGGCGCAACCCCGGCGCGCCGUUGAAACUGCCAGUCACGAGUUGGAGAGAAGUAUGCGGAAUGCGCGGUGUAGCGGUGAAAUGCAUAGAUAUCGCGCAGAACUCCGAUUGCGAAGGCAGCAUGCCGGCUCCACACUGACGCUGAGGCACGAAAGCGUGGGUAUCGAACAGGAUUAGAUACCCCUGUAGCC
This 459-nucleotide ribosomal RNA is filed under the name uncultured bacterium. RNAcentral's name for it is "partial 16S ribosomal RNA". It matches the Rfam family "Bacterial small subunit ribosomal RNA", at positions 338 to 795 of the family's 1533-position model. The record is from RNAcentral.